This is a small nuclear RNA of Pan paniscus (pygmy chimpanzee), 168 nucleotides long. Its record names the gene U1. It matches the Rfam family "U1 spliceosomal RNA". Rfam says of the family: U1 is a small nuclear RNA (snRNA) component of the spliceosome (involved in pre-mRNA splicing). Its 5' end forms complementary base pairs with the 5' splice junction, thus defining the 5' donor site of an intron. NCBI's taxonomy places the organism in Eukaryota, Metazoa, Chordata, Mammalia, Primates, Hominidae. The record is from Ensembl.
UUACCUUCGUCCUAAAAAAUUUUUAAACCAUGAUCAUGAAGGUGGUUUUCCCAGGGCGAGGCUCAUCCAUUGCACUCCGAAUGUGCUGACCCCUGUGGUUUCCCCAAAUGUGGGAAAAUGAGUUGCAUAAUUUGUGGUAGUGGGGGUCUGCGUUCGUGCUUUCCCCUU